This 478-nucleotide ribosomal RNA is filed under the name uncultured bacterium. Its description in RNAcentral is "bacterial SSU rRNA". It matches the Rfam family "Bacterial small subunit ribosomal RNA", at positions 30 to 497 of the family's 1533-position model. The record is from RNAcentral.
AUUGAACGCUGGCGGCAUGCUUUACACAUGCAAGUCGAACGGCAGCACGGGUGCUUGCACCUGGUGGCGAGUGGCGGACGGGUGAGUAAUGCAUCGGAACGUGUCCUGAAGUGGGGGAUAACGCAUCGAAAGAUGUGCUAAUACCGCAUAUUCUCUGAGGAGGAAAGUAGGGGAUCGAAAGACCUUAUGCUUUUGGAGCGGCCGAUGUCUGAUUAGCUAGUUGGUAGGGUAAUGGCUUACCAAGGCGACGAUCAGUAGUUGGUCUGAGAGGACGACCAGCCACACUGGGACUGAGACACGGCCCAGACUCCUACGGGAGGCAGCAGUGGGGAAUUUUGGACAAUGGGCGCAAGCCUGAUCCAGCAAUGCCGCGUGAGUGAAGAAGGCCUCGGUUGUAAGACUCUUUCAGUUGUAGAAGAAAAAGUACGUAGACUAAUAAUACAUGAUUCAUGACGGUAUCAACAGAAGAAGACACCGG